AACCUCCGGGGGCAGGAGGUUCGACCCGAGCGAAGCGAGAGAACGUUGCGUCAGCAACGGCCCGCAGGGCGAGCCACGCAGUGGCGAGUCAUCCUCUAUCACCGACCA
RNAcentral lists this small RNA (108 nucleotides) under Salmonella enterica. RNAcentral's name for it is "partial RtT sRNA". It matches the Rfam family "RtT RNA", at positions 27 to 130 of the family's 130-position model. From Rfam's summary of the family: This family represents a bacterial cis-regulatory element known as RtT RNA. Lineage: Bacteria; Pseudomonadati; Pseudomonadota; Gammaproteobacteria; Enterobacterales; Enterobacteriaceae. The record is from RNAcentral.